AGCGAACGCUGGCGGCGUGCUUAACACAUGCAAGUCGAGUGCGUAGCCCUUUGUAGCAAUACAGAGGGUGGGCGCACGGCGCACGGGUGAGUAACACGUGGGUAACCUGCCCUUCGGUGGGGAAUAACCCCGCGAAAGCGGGGCUAAUUCCGCAUAACAUUCCGGGGACACAUGUUCUCGGACUCAAAGGAGUGAUUCGCCGGAGGAGGGGCCCGCGCCCGAUUAGCUUGUUGGUAGGUAACGGCCACCAAGGCUUUGAUCGGUAGCCGGUCUGAGAGGAUGGCCGGCCACACUGGAACUGAGACACGGUCCAGACUCCUACGGGAGGCAGCAGUGGGGAAUCUUGCGCAAUGGGCGAAAGCCUGACGCAGCGACGCCGC
Molecule: ribosomal RNA, 380 nt
Filed under: uncultured bacterium
Lineage: Bacteria
Description: bacterial SSU rRNA
Rfam family: Bacterial small subunit ribosomal RNA
Source: RNAcentral